Molecule: ribosomal RNA, 142 nt
Filed under: uncultured eukaryote
Lineage: Eukaryota
Description: partial Bacterial small subunit ribosomal RNA
Source: RNAcentral
AUUUUGAGUUUGAUCCUGGCUCAGGAUUAACGCUUCAGAUGUACAUUAUACAUGCAAGUUUAACGUAUCUUUACGUAGCGAACGGGUGAGUAAUUACAGAGCGUCCGUUCGAAUUUAUUAAGAAUUGCCUUUGAAGCUUUUG